AUUCGAUGUAGGGAUUCGGCCCUGCUUUGAGAGUUUCGCGCAAAGGUCUGAAAAUUAUGAAAGGUAAUCUGCAAAAGUUAUAGAUUACUAUCUAAAUUUGCGUUUCAAGUUUGAUGCAACGCCUAAGCCUAAACCAAAGCCAACGCCUAA
This is a non-coding RNA of Caenorhabditis elegans, 150 nucleotides long. Lineage: Eukaryota; Metazoa; Nematoda; Chromadorea; Rhabditida; Rhabditidae. The record is from Ensembl.